Molecule: ribosomal RNA, 518 nt
Filed under: uncultured Fusobacteriota bacterium
Lineage: Bacteria; Fusobacteriati; Fusobacteriota
Description: bacterial SSU rRNA
Rfam family: Bacterial small subunit ribosomal RNA
Source: RNAcentral
UAGAAAUGAAUGCUAAUACCUGGUAUUAUGGUUAUAGGGCAUCCUAUAAUUAUGAAAGCUAUAAGCACUGUGAGAGAGCUUUGCGUCCCAUUAGCUAGUUGGAGAGGUAACAGCUCACCAAGGCGAUGAUGGGUAGCCGGCCUGAGAGGGUGAACGGCCACAAGGGGACUGAGACACGGCCCUUACUCCUACGGGAGGCAGCAGUGGGGAAUAUUGGACAAUGGACCAAGAGUCUGAUCCAGCAAUUCUGUGUGCACGAUGAAGUUUUUCGGAAUGUAAAGUGCUUUCAGUUGGGAAGAAAAAAAUGACGGUACCAACAGAAGAAGUGACGGCUAAAUACGUGCCAGCAGCCGCGGUAAUACGUAUGUCACGAGCGUUAUCCGGAUUUAUUGGGCGUAAAGCGCGUCUAGGUGGUUAUGUAAGUCUGAUGUGAAAAUGCAGGGCUCAACUCUGUAUUGCGUUGGAAACUGUAUAACUAGAGUACCGGAGAGGUAAGCGGAACUACAAGUGUAGAGGUG